AUACGGAGGGUGCAAGCGUUAUCCGGAAUCAUUGGGUUUAAAGGGUCCGUAGGCGGGCAAUUAAGUCAGAGGGGAAAUCCCACAGCUCAACUGUGGAACUGCCUUUGAUACUGGUUGUCUUGAGUUAUAGUGAAGUAGAUAGAAUGUGUAGUGUAGCGGUGAAAUGCAUAGAUAUUACACAGAAUACCGAUUGCGAAGGCAGUCUACUAACUGUUGACUGACGCUAAUGGACGAAAGCGUGGGGAGCGAACAGGAUUAGAAACCCCAGUAGUCC
RNAcentral lists this ribosomal RNA (274 nucleotides) under uncultured bacterium. Its description in RNAcentral is "partial 16S ribosomal RNA". It matches the Rfam family "Bacterial small subunit ribosomal RNA", at positions 523 to 796 of the family's 1533-position model. The record is from RNAcentral.